UGAACUGAUCUAUUAAAAUAUAUAUUGAGCUAAAAAAUUCAGCUCGUUUAUUAAGGAUCGAGUCGAACACGAGCUGGUUCACGAAUAGUAAGUUAAAUUGUUAGCUCUACUAAUGAGCGAAAAGAGAAAGAAAAUUAGAAUUUUAAUCUAAUAAUUAAACUUUGUAUAAUACAGGUCUCUUUAUGAACAGUGGUUAAUAAAAUAUGAAUGGUCAAAAAGUAGAUAAUAAAUAUUAUUCAUGUACUAUUAGUAGUAUUCGAGCUUUACCAAGCCGAGCACGAGUGGGCAGACCCCAGCUCAUAUUUGGCUUAUUAAAAUUUCGAGCAGAAAUAUUCUGCUUGUUUUCGGCUGGUUUAUUAAGAAAAUGUCUGAUCGCAAGCUCAUUUCGAAUCAAAUACGAACUUAGUCGUAAACAGCAAGCUGGAUUGCUAAAUGGUAACCCUAUCCGAUAACACAUUACUAAAUAUUACAAGCUUGGUUCAUUUUUAAAAAAUAAACUCAAUUAGUUAGAAAUACAAAGCAACUAGGUUUUGACGAACAUCAAAUAUCAACUAUCAAGCCCUUAGCAUAUUGCGCUAUGUGCGCGGAUUAUUAAUUAUUUAACUCAUCUAUAUAAUUAUUAGUUUUUUAGCAUAUCAUCAUGAAA
Molecule: long non-coding RNA, 646 nt
Filed under: Ananas comosus (pineapple)
Lineage: Eukaryota; Viridiplantae; Streptophyta; Magnoliopsida; Poales; Bromeliaceae
Description: long non-coding RNA (ACOM_LNC038202)
Source: RNAcentral